GGAGUUUGGGCCGUGUCUCAGUCCCAAUGUGGCCGGUCACCCUCUCAGGUCGGCUACUGAUCGUCGCCUUGGUGGGCCGUUACCUCACCAACUAGCUAAUCAGACGCGGGUCCAUCCUAUACCGUCGGAGCUUUUCACACUGAAUCAUGCGAUUCCGUGCGCUUAUGCGGUAUUAGCAGUCAUUUCUAACUGUUAUCCCCCUGUAUAGGGUAGGUUACCCACGCGUUACUCACCCGUCCGCCACUCAGUCAUCUCAGGCUUCACCCCGAAGGGAUCGACUUGAGAGCUUCGUUCGACUUGCAUGUGUUAAGCACGCCGCCAGCGUUCAUC
RNAcentral lists this ribosomal RNA (330 nucleotides) under uncultured Oscillospiraceae bacterium. RNAcentral's name for it is "partial 16S ribosomal RNA". The record is from RNAcentral. Lineage: Bacteria; Bacillati; Bacillota; Clostridia; Eubacteriales; Oscillospiraceae.